GACGAACGCUGGCGGCGUGCUUAACACAUGCAAGUCGAACGGAAAGGCCCUGCUUUUGUGGGGUGCUCGAGUGGCGAACGGGUGAGUAACACGUGAGUAACCUUCCCUUUACUUUGGGAUAACUUCAGGAAACUGGUGCUAAUACCGGAUAGGAGCUCCUGCUGCAUGGUGGGGUUUGGAAAGUUUCGGCGGUUGGGGAUGGACUCGCGGCUUAUCAGCUUGUUGGUGGGGUAGUGGCUUACCAAGGCUUUGACGGGUAGCCGGCCUGAGAGGGUGACCGGCCACAUUGGGACUGAGAUACGGCCCAGACUCCUACGGGAGGCAGCAGUGGGGAAUAUUGCACAAUGGGCGGAAGCCUGAUGCAGCAACGCCGCGUGCGGGAUGACGGCCUUCGGGUUGUAAACCGCUUUCGCCUGUGACGAAGCGUGAGUGACGGUAAUGGGUAAAGAAGCACCGGCUAACUACGUG
Molecule: ribosomal RNA, 468 nt
Filed under: uncultured bacterium
Lineage: Bacteria
Description: partial 16S ribosomal RNA
Rfam family: Bacterial small subunit ribosomal RNA
Source: RNAcentral